AGUCAGGAUCUUAUCGAUAAGAGCAACCGAAUUUUAGGUUAUGUUAUGUAGAUUACAGUGAAUUAACCUUGAAUUAACAAAAUAAAGUGAAAAAAACUUUCUUUAUUCGUUAUAUCUAAGUUGUUAUCAACUCUUUAGAGUGUUUAUUGUUCAUGUUAUAUAUUUUUCAUUGGUUUUUAUUGACUAUAUAAUUACUUGAACGAUUUUUUAAUUCAUAAGUAGUGUUGCAUGUCGCAAAUUUUAGGUUAUCAACCUUGUUAAUUUCAUUUAAUUUGUAAAAAUUUCUGAAUUUAGAACUAAAGUUUAAAAAUAUUUUCCACUUAUACCAGUUAAACUUGGCAAUUAUCUAGAUUUAAUAUCCAAAUAACACAUUUAAAAUGUCGAAUGACAAAACAAACCCCACUGGUAUUCCCACAGACAUUGAUCCUAGUAAAUAUGGCUAUGAUCUGUACCCCCAACGCUGGAAGAAGAGGGAACAAUCUUUCUCCGACAUGCUUCUUGGCAGGAAUCUUGAAACUGAACGCAUAAAGUGUGAAGGCAGAGUAUAUGACUGUCUAAAAACAAAUCGUUUGGUGAGGCUUAUGAUGUCAGCUUUAAAAAGUGCUGGGUGUCCUAUAGACAUUCGCAGACAUAUAGCAUGCGAACCAUGUGACAACUCAGUGACUGGAGGCUAUGAUCCUAUUAUGAAUCAGAUAGUAGUGUGCAACCAGACCAGCUCGUCUAUAGUCCCAGGAGUGCUAGCUCACGAGAUGAUCCACAUGUUCGACUAUUGUGUGCACAAAGUCGACUUCAAGAAUAUCGAUCAUGUGGCCUGUACCGAGAUCAGGGCUGCCAACCUCACGCAUUGCAGCUUCAUGAGUGCUUUCAUGCAGGGUGACGUCACGCCUUUCAAUUUUAGGAAAUUACAUCAGGACUGCGUGAAAACGAAAGCCCUCCACUCAAUUUUGGCAGUACGGGAUGUGACCGAAGAGCAAGCGGUGGCUGUCAUUGAGAGAGUUUUCCCCACCUGUUACAGCGACCUUGAGCCGAUCGGCAGACGACUUAAGAGGAAUAGCAACGAUAUUGAUAAGGCAUACAGGGAAGGCUUCUAUUAUGGAUAUGUGUAGCUUAAGAUAUACAUUCAGUGAAGUUUAGAUUUUUCGUAAUAUGUAAUUAAUAAUUGAUUUAAUAGGCCUAAUUGUUUAUUGAGAUAUGUCUAGCUUAAGAUAUACAGUCAAUAAAGUUUAGAGUUUUUGUAAAAAUUAAUGAAUUGAUAGU
RNAcentral lists this unclassified non-coding RNA (1257 nucleotides) under Nilaparvata lugens (brown planthopper). Its description in RNAcentral is "mitochondrial inner membrane protease ATP23 homolog, transcript variant X1". The record is from RNAcentral. Lineage: Eukaryota; Metazoa; Arthropoda; Insecta; Hemiptera; Delphacidae.